RNAcentral lists this ribosomal RNA (407 nucleotides) under Streptococcus iniae. RNAcentral's name for it is "bacterial SSU rRNA". It matches the Rfam family "Bacterial small subunit ribosomal RNA", at positions 16 to 413 of the family's 1533-position model. Lineage: Bacteria; Bacillati; Bacillota; Bacilli; Lactobacillales; Streptococcaceae. The record is from RNAcentral.
AUCCUGGCUCAGGACGAACGCUGGCGGCGUGCCUAAUACAUGCAAGUAGAACGCUGAGGAUUGGUGCUUGCACUAAUCCAAAGAGUUGCGAACGGGUGAGUAACGCGUAGGUAACCUACCUCAUAGCGGGGGAUAACUAUUGGAAACGAUAGCUAAUACCGCAUGAYACUAGAGUACACAUGUACUUAAGUUAAAAGGAGCAAUUGCUUCACUAUGAGAUGGACCUGCGUUGUAUUAGCUAGUUGGUGAGGUAACGGCUCACCAAGGCGACGAUACAUAGCCGACCUGAGAGGGUGAUCGGCCACACUGGGACUGAGACACGGCCCAGACUCCUACGGGAGGCAGCAGUAGGGAAUCUUCGGCAAUGGACGGAAGUCUGACCGAGCAACGCCGCGUGAGUGAAGAAG